CCCCUGGUGGCUUAGACAGUAAAGUGCCUGCCUACAAUUCAGGAGACCCAGGUUCAAUCCCUGGGUUGGGAA
Molecule: non-coding RNA, 72 nt
Organism: Bos taurus (domestic cattle)
Lineage: Eukaryota; Metazoa; Chordata; Mammalia; Artiodactyla; Bovidae
Source: Rfam